GGUAGGGUGGCCGAGAAGGUGGUGGGUUGUAGCCCCAAGCACGGAGGUUUUAGCCCUCCCCCUACCA
This 67-nucleotide transfer RNA is filed under the name Allobates tinae. RNAcentral describes it as "tRNA-Tyr". It matches the Rfam family "tRNA". Rfam says of the family: Transfer RNA (tRNA) molecules are approximately 80 nucleotides in length. Their secondary structure includes four short double-helical elements and three loops (D, anti-codon, and T loops). Further hydrogen bonds mediate the characteristic L-shaped molecular structure. tRNAs have two regions of fundamental functional importance: the anti-codon, which is responsible for specific mRNA codon recognition, and the 3' end, to which the tRNAs corresponding amino acid is attached (by aminoacyl-tRNA synthetases). tRNAs cope with the degeneracy of the genetic code in two manners: having more than one tRNA (with a specific anti-codon) for a particular amino acid; and 'wobble' base-pairing, i.e. permitting non-standard base-pairing at the 3rd anti-codon position. The record is from RNAcentral. Lineage: Eukaryota; Metazoa; Chordata; Amphibia; Anura; Aromobatidae.